RNAcentral lists this long non-coding RNA (958 nucleotides) under Helianthus annuus (common sunflower). The record is from RNAcentral. Lineage: Eukaryota; Viridiplantae; Streptophyta; Magnoliopsida; Asterales; Asteraceae.
UUUAGUUUAUAGUUGAGCUUAGGUAUGGAAGACGGAAGCGCAUCAAGACAGAGUUCUUCAACUACCUAUGCCACAAUGAUUGUGAAGAUAGCGAUGAUCAUGGCUUGAAAAAACAUCGAAUUGAGUGAGUGGAAUUUAAGAUGACCUCAUCAGAUGUUGUGUAAGAGUAACGGAUUAAGGAAACAAAGUAGCGGGUGUGACAUCCUCCGGGUUCCGUUGAUGAAUUAGUCACUGUUCUUGACGCAAGCCCUACUUUUGAGUUUUGUUUACGGUUCCUGUUUUAGUAUGUUUUCCUUUAGUUUCUCAUAUGACACUGCGCAUUUUUUAGCAAGUCAGUUAGUUGCCAAUCUGUAGCAGAGCUUUUUAAGGCCAUUUGGUAUUUACACCAUUUUCUCCUGUUUAUCAAUCUACAGGUACUAAGGAGGCAUGCUAUGAAUAUUUAUCUGAUAGCCCUUUUGAAUGGUGGCACAAGGGUGCUUGCUUCUUAUUCAUGUGGGAUGGAAGAGUGAGCAAUCUUUUCCUCAAAUGGUUCACAGCAUAUAUAUGGAGGUAGCAAGAAUGGCUUUAUAAAUAUAUGGAUCUACAUGGUGGAGGAUCAUUAGUUGCUUUUCAAAAUUACAAGGAGUGGCAUCAGAUUUUCUCGACACUCCGAUCGGGCAAAUACUGGAGAGGCUGCAAGCACUUGGAAUUUCCUGAACCUAGAACCAUCCAUAUUUAGCCGGCUGUUGCUGAAUUUGUUUAUUAGUCUUUGCAGAUGCUCACGGUACGUUUGAUUUCAUUUAGAUGCUCCGUAGAAUUAUUUGUUCGUAUUAUUGCUUUCAUUAGAUGAAUAAGUGUUGUUUGCAUCACUUUCUUUGACUUUCGAAGGCUUUUCGUUUUGUGUGAUGUGAAUUGGUUAGUUGCUACAGUUUAUGAAAUCUUAUAUUGGUUUCCCCGUAUCUAAUCAAAGAAAAACUAG